RNAcentral lists this ribosomal RNA (121 nucleotides) under Candidatus Magasanikbacteria bacterium GW2011_GWA2_42_32. The record is from RNAcentral. RNAcentral also lists the same sequence under 1 other name. Lineage: Bacteria; Candidatus Magasanikiibacteriota.
CCCUCGGUGCUUUAAGCGGAGUGGUCACACCCGUUCUCAUUCCGAACACGGAAGUUAAGCACUCUGGCGCUGAUGAUAGUUGGACCCAACCCGGUCCUGCAAAAGUAGGCAAGUGCCGGGG